GCCCCCGUAGCUCAGCGGACAGAGCAGGGGCCUUCUAAUCCCAAGGUCGGAGGUUCGAAUCCUCCCGGGGGCACCU
Molecule: transfer RNA, 76 nt
Filed under: cyanobacterium TDX16
Lineage: Bacteria; Bacillati; Cyanobacteriota
Description: tRNA-Arg
Rfam family: tRNA
About the family: Transfer RNA (tRNA) molecules are approximately 80 nucleotides in length. Their secondary structure includes four short double-helical elements and three loops (D, anti-codon, and T loops).
Source: RNAcentral